UGGAGAAUCUUGCACAAUGGGGGAAACCCUGAUGCAGCAACGCCGCGUGAAGGAAGAAGGCCCUUGGGUCGUAAACUUCUUUUCUAAGGGAAGAUAAUGACGGUACCUUAGGAACAAGUCCCGGCUAACUACGUGCCAGCAGCCGCGGUAAUACGUAGGGGGCGAGCGUUAUCCGGAAUUAUUGGGCGUAAAGAGUACGUAGGUGGUUUCCUAAGCAUGGGGUUUAAGGCAAUGGCUCAACUGUUGUUCGCCCUAUGAACUGGGUUACUUGAGUGCUGGAGGGGAAAGCGGAAUUCCUAGUGUAGCGGUGAAAUGCGUAGAUAUUAGGAGGAACACCAGUGGCGAAGGCGGCUUUCUGGACAGUAACUGACACUGAGGUACGAAAGUGUGGGGAGCAAACA
RNAcentral lists this ribosomal RNA (401 nucleotides) under uncultured prokaryote. RNAcentral's name for it is "bacterial SSU rRNA". It matches the Rfam family "Bacterial small subunit ribosomal RNA", at positions 355 to 774 of the family's 1533-position model. The record is from RNAcentral.